AUCUUCCCUUUAUGGAGCUUCCCAGGCUAGGGGUCCAAUCAGAGCUGUAGCCACUGGCCUACGCCGUAGCCACAGCAACGCAGGCUCCAAACCAUGUCUGCAGCCUACACCACAGCUCGCGGCAAUGCAAGAUCCUUAACCUACUGAGCGAGGCCAGGGAUCGAACCCACAACCUCAUGGUUCCUAGUUGGAUUUGUUUCCACUGUGCCACGACGGGAACUCCUAUAAUUAUUAUUAUUUUUUAGGGCCAUACCUGCGGCAUAUGGAGGUUUCUAGGCUACGGGCCCAAUUGGAGCCACAGCUGCCACACCACAGCCACAGCAACACAGGAUCUGAGCCGCAUCUGCGAACCAGGUCCCAGCUUGGGGCAACACCAGGUCCUCAACCCACCAAUCGAGGCCAAGAAUUGAACCUGCAUCCUCAUGGACACUGUGUGUUGGGUUCUUAGGCUGCUGAGCCACAACGGGAACUCCAAGAAUAGACAUUAUUUGCUUCUACAAAACUCUUUCUUAGAAGUGGACAUGUUCAUUAUGGGAGCGUCUAAAGUUACCCAGCGUCGAGAAAGGGGAAGGAUCUGGCUCAGCUCCACGAGGUCCUUGGACUUGGGGUAAGCAGAACUACCUGGGGCGUCCCUUUGUCUGCAGGACCCACUGCCUUUAACUAGGCCGCUGCUUCAACGAGGCUCCUGCUCUCCCUCCAAACACAGCUGAGAGGGGACUGAUGGGGCCCCCUGGCCCCAAGCACUGCAGCCGAGCUCAGAGAGAGGAGUUGCCCUAAUCUCAUUAUUCGUCUUCUCGGACAGGCUGCCGCUUAUAUUAAGACACAAAGGGGGCUGAGACGUGACUUUCCAUUUGACGUCUUCCCAGGCUGAGUUGCCGGGAUGGGUCAUAGUGCACUCCUAUUUGGCCAUUGACCAAUUUAAUCUAUUCACUCUCGGUGAUCGUCCGUCGUGCUCCUUCACCUUCGUGGAGCAUUCUAGAAGGCUCUUCCCCCCCACCCCCCUCAUGAAGCCCACAGCCCCUUCACCUCCCACCCAGCCCCUGUACCAUUCCCGGACCUGCAUCUCCAGGGGUCCGUGGACGCCAGUCCCUGUGGACGUCCGCGGGGCCUGAGGCAAGUCCAGGUUCAACAGCUGCAAGUACUGUCAAUAACGCACCGCGGUCAUAAUUAUUUCUGAUGAGUAUUUUUCCACCUAAUAACGACUCGGAGGGGUGGCUGGCCUUGGUCGAGGGGAGGGACACCUUCCAGAUGACCUGCCAGCAAUUAAGGCGGCUUGUUAGUCGGAGGCCCGGGACGGCCGAGGACAGCUGGAGAGUUCUACUUUGCAGGCAGCUCUGGUUCACAUCAACCGGGAAAGCUCUCUGUAAACACAUGAAUAAUUGAUCGUCCCGCGCGCACAUAGCUACCGAGGAUCUGAGCCCGUAUGACUCAUUUGCGAGCCAUCCCUGUCGUCUGGAUGCCAUAACACUGGAGGAAUGAUGAUCGUUUCUUGGAGAUUCUUCUGUGGCCAGAGUUGCCAAGACCAAGGCUGUAAUGGUUUGUUAUGAUGACCUUUGUUAUUCCAUUAGGCUCAAUGGCUUUAAAAAAUGAUGUGCGCAUACUUUCGGAACGUUUUUACCCUUCACGUUGACCUGACAUCAUAGUUUAUGUUACAAAAUGUAUUAAUGACAGAGGAGUGUUUUCAUGUCCCAGGGACAAAUUUUAACAACCAUAAUCUGCCCUUAGUCAUCAUAAAUAUAAAUGUAUUGGUCAAACAGAUCUCGUUAAUGUGGCCAAGAUAAAUGCAAGCCUAUAUUUUAAGGCAGUUGAAGUCCUCGAGAAUAGAUUUGGAGCUUUUUGUGAGGCUAGGAGAGCUUGUAUAUGUGCUAUCAGAAGGCUGAGAAAAUGAACAUGUUUCCCCCUCUGGUUCUGCUUUGGACCCGAUAUAAACGUCUCGGGGACGUCAAGUAAGAUUCUUCACAUCGUUUCUGGACACCGUUAAUGCCUGGUGGGGUGAACCUUAGUUCUUAAAGCUGUAUGCUUCUCCUUAUGCUCUCGGGGCUUUUGAAAAGAAAGCAGAUGCAGAUUUCAAGUUUCUUUCUUUUUUUGCAUGCUUGAAAUCUUUAUGGAUUUAUUUUCUUUAAAAACAAUUUUUAGUAUAAUUGAUUCGCAAGGUCGUGUCAAUUUCUGCUGUACAGCAAAGGGACCCAGUUAUGCAUUUGUAUACAUUCUUUUUAUCACAUGACAGAUUUCAGGUUGCACCCGUGGGUUGCUCAGCUGCGUUUCCCAGUAUCCCCGUGCUUUCCAGUUUUCGGGGUAUCAAUCCCGCCUGCCCCAUGUUCUGUGUGGGACGAGUCCCUUCUCCACGCCGGGUGUCUGAUGUUUUGCAGCGUUCCAGUUGGCAUGUGUGCUGGCUGCUGACGAUCUGGGCACGGGCUGCAGGCCUGGUCCAAUACUCAGUCUUGCUCUUGGUUGCAGUGUGCUCAGCAGUGUUGGCCCUGAGGCGGGGUAGCCACAUUUCCAGCUUCUCUGGCAGAAAAGAAAUGCUUGUUGUAAGAAACCCUUUGGAAUCAUGUUUUUAUCUUGAACCAUGAAAAUGUGUUUGAGGCAGGCAUGCUACUCUCUGAGAGAGCAGACUGUUUACAGGGGUGAGUUGACCCCACCCCCUCACCAGGGGACACGGUGCCAUCAUUAACCUCCGUGUGGAUUACAGUCAGCUGGCACUGAUGGAUGAGCACUUCACGUGAAGCCAUUUAUCCUUCUGCCUUAGAGGAAUCUUCUAAGAGGAACCCUUUCUUCUCAAUCUGCUAUGGCUCUUGGUAGCACCACAUAUGGGGCUCUAGACAUGUGAUUUUUGCCCGAAACGCCUCUGGGACUGGGGAUGAAUUAUUUUCUAAAUUUGUUGGUGUGAGGACAGUGCCGUGAUCGUCUCCUGUGUGGCUUAAAGUUUUUGAUCUGUUUGGAAAGUGAGACACAUCACCCAUGUUCUUCGCAGCACGAGUCCCAAGAGCCAAAAGGUGAAAACUGCAGUUGUCCACGGACAGACAAGUGGAUAAACAAAUGCCCUGUAUCCAGAGUUCCCGCUGUGGCUCAGCACUGAUGAACCUGACGAGUAUCCAUGAGGAUGCGGGAUCGGUCCCUGGCCCUGUUGAGUGGAUUAAGGAUCUGGCAUUGUCAUGAGCUGUGGUGUAGGUUGCAGACACGGCUUGGAUGUGGUGUGGCCAUGGCUGUGGCUGUGGCUGGCAACUGCAGCUCUGAUUCGAACCCUAGCUGGGGAACUUCCAUAGGUGUGGGUGUGGCCCUAAACAAACCAACAAACAAAUAAUAAAUGUUCUAUAUUGAUACAACGGAAUGUCACUCAGCCUUAAGAAGGAAAAAAAUUCUAACACACGCUACAACAUGGACGAACCUUAAAGAUAUUAUGGUAAAUGAAAUCAGCCAGUCACAAAAGGACAAAUACUCUAUGAUUCCAUCCAUACGAGGUACUAGUGUAGUCAGAUUCAUAGAAACAGAAAGAAGAAUUGGGGUUGCCUGGGGCUGGGGGAGAGGGGAUGUUUUUUUUCUUUUGUUUUUUUAGGGCCACACCCACGGGAUAUGGAGAUCCCCAGGCUAGGUGUCUAAUCGGAGCUGUAGCUGUCGGCCUACACCAUAGCCACAGCAAUGCCAGAUCUGAGCCGGGUCUGCGACCUACACCACUGCUCAUGGCAAUGCCGGAUCCUUAACCCACUGAGUGAGGCCGGGGAUUGAACCCAAAACCCCAUGGUUCCUAGUCGGAUUUGUUAACCACUGAACCACGACGGGAACUCCAGGUUAGUUGGGUUUUUUAAGACCGUACCCACAGCCUAUGGAAAUUCCCAGGCCAGGGGGCCAGUUGGAGCCACAGAUGCUGGCCGACACCACAACCACAGCAACGCCAGAUCCGAGUUGCGUCUGCAACCUGCACCACAGCUCACGGCAAUGCUGGAUCCUUAACCCACUGAGCCAGGCCAGGGAUUGAACCCGCAUCCUCAUGAAUACUAGUUGGGUUUGUUACUGCUGAGCCGCAAUAGGAGCUCCCUCACACCGCUUUCAUGGUAAGUAAAGGAAUACUGGAGUGACAAAUACUGGCUUUCUUUGUCAAGUGGAACUCACCAAAAUCCAUUGGUUAAGCAUGGAGGUGCCCACUUUGGGUGACCAGUUCACUCUGAUCCAAACACACAUCCCCAGCCCUCAGAGGACCACAGCACCCAUUUCUGGACGCAUCAGAGGACCUCCUGUGCCCUGAAAGGAAGUGGAGCUCGGAAGGCGCAACCUGGAUGGACCUCUGAGCAGCUGAGCUAAUUCUCACAUGGUAACGACUCCUGAAUUAAUUAGACAGGAAGGGGCAAUGCUUGGAGCUGAACAAUGGUCUCCAAAUUGUGUAAUACAUGUCUGUGUUACAGGAUUGGGGGAAAUAAUGAGAAAGGAUGUUUUUAAAAGAACUUUUGCCUCUUUUUAAUGUUAGUUCCCACUCCUGGACAUGUAUCCAGACAAAACUUUCUGUGAAAAAGUUACAUGCACCUGUGUGUGCACUGCAGCACUAUUCACGAUAGCCAAGACAUGGAAAUAACCUAAAUGUCCAUGACAGAUGAAUGGAUGAAGAAGAUGUGGUAUAUACAUAAUGGAAUAUUACUCAGCCAUAAAAAAGAUAAAAUAAUGCCAUUUGCAGCAACAUGGAUGGAACUAGAGACUCUCAUACUAAGUGAAGUAAGUCAGAAAGAGGAAAAAACAAAUACCCUAUGAUAUCACUUAUUUGUGAAAUCUAAUAUAUGGUACAAAUGAACCUUUCUACAGAAAAGAAACAAACUCAUGGACUUGAAGAACAGACUUGUGGUUGCCAAGGGGGAGUGGGAAGGAGUGGGAUGGAUGGGGAGUUUGGGGUUAGUAGAUGCAUAUGACAGCAUCUGGAGUGGAUAAGCAAUGAGAUCCUGCUGUGCAGCACAGGGAACUAUACCGAGUCACUUGUGAUGGAGCAUGAUGGAGGAUACUGUGAGAAAAAGAAUGUAUGGGUUUGCUGGGUUACUUGAUUGUACAGCAAAAAUUGACAGAACGUUGCAAAUCAACUAUUAAAAAAACCUUCAAAAAACUCCAAAAGGUCAUUUGGGGAGUUCCCGUUGUGGCUCAACGGGUUAAGGACCCAACGUUGUCUCUGUGAGGAUGCAGGGUCAAUCCUUGGCCUUGCUCACUGGGUUAAGAAUCUAGCAUUGCUAUAAGUUGCAUUGUAGGUCACAGAUAUGCUGGGAUCCAGUGUUGCUGUGGCUGUGGCGUAGGUCGUAGCUGCAGCUCUCAUUCAAACCCUAGCCUGGGAACUUUCGUAUGCCACAGGUUCGGCCAUAGGA
Molecule: long non-coding RNA, 5336 nt
Filed under: Sus scrofa (pig)
Lineage: Eukaryota; Metazoa; Chordata; Mammalia; Artiodactyla; Suidae
Description: lncRNA (ENSSSCG00000060719.1)
Source: RNAcentral